Molecule: ribosomal RNA, 465 nt
Filed under: uncultured bacterium
Lineage: Bacteria
Description: bacterial SSU rRNA
Rfam family: Bacterial small subunit ribosomal RNA
Source: RNAcentral
CCAGACUCCUACGGGAGGCAGCAGUGAGGAAUAUUGGUCAAUGGCCGAGAGGCUGAACCAGCCAAGUCGCGUGAGGGAUGACGGCCCUACGGGUUGUAAACCUCUUUUGCCGGGGAGCAAAGAGCGGGACGCGUCCCGCCUCGAGAGUACCCGGGGAAAAAGCAUCGGCUAACUCCGUGCCAGCAGCCGCGGUAAUACGGAGGAUGCGAGCGUUAUCCGUAUUUAUUGGGUUUAAGGGGUGCGCAGGCGGCGGCGCAAGUCAGGGGUAAAUUGGGGGGGCUCACCCUCUCCCCGCCGUUGAAACUGCGUUUCUUGAGUGGGCGAGAAGUACGCGGAAUGCGUGGUGUAGCGGUGAAAUGCAUAGAUAUCACGCAGAACUCCGAUUGCGAAGGCAGCGUACCGGCGCCCAACUGACGCUCAUGCACGAAAGCGUGGGUAUCGAACAGGAUUAGAUACCCCAGUAAU